ACGAACGCUGGCGGCGUGCUUAACCCAUGCAAGUCGAACGGAAAGGCCCUGCUUGCAGGGUGCUCGAGUGGCGAACGGGUGAGUAACACGUGGGUGAUCUGCCCCUUACUUUGGGAUAAGCCUGGGAAACUGGGUCUAAUACUGGAUAGGACCAUGCUGUAGGUGGUGUGGUGGAAAGAUUAGUUUCGGUAAGGGAUGAGCUCGCGGCCUAUCAGCUUGUUGGUGGGGUAAUGGCCUACCAAGGCGUCGACGGGUAGCCGGCCUGAGAGGGUGGACGGCCACAUUGGGACUGAGAUACGGCCCAGACUCCUACGGGAGGCAGCAGUGGGGAAUAUUGCACAAUGGGCGCAAGCCUGAUGCAGCGACGCCGCGUGGGGGAUGACGGCCUUCGGGUUGUAAACUCCUUUCAGCCAUGACGAAGCCCUUGUGGUGACGGUAGUGGUAGAAGAAGCACCGGCUAACUACGUG
RNAcentral lists this ribosomal RNA (468 nucleotides) under uncultured bacterium. RNAcentral's name for it is "partial 16S ribosomal RNA". It matches the Rfam family "Bacterial small subunit ribosomal RNA", at positions 29 to 507 of the family's 1533-position model. The record is from RNAcentral.